GAGAGAGAGAGAGAGAGAGGCAACGAAGAAGCUGUAGCAGUUGUCCCACCAUCCAAUCAUAUGGAUUGACAAAAUAUAUUUUGUGAUGAAAACGAUAAAAUGGGGAAACAGAACUAAGUUCUAAAAAAAUAGAAAGAAAAAGGGAACAAUCUAUUAAAUUACAGAAAGGCAAUUGAUUCGAACAAGGUUCUCUGUUUUUACACAAAAAUCCUCAGGUAAAAAGAGAGAUUAACAGUUGAUAUUACCUG
RNAcentral lists this unclassified non-coding RNA (248 nucleotides) under Hevea brasiliensis (rubber tree). Lineage: Eukaryota; Viridiplantae; Streptophyta; Magnoliopsida; Malpighiales; Euphorbiaceae. The record is from RNAcentral.